GAUAUUGGACAACGCACCACAAGGUUAUUACAAAACAGGAAAAGCUUUUGUCAUCAAACAGAAAUGGUCAAAUCAUAUUAAUCCGAUCAAACAAAAGGAAACAAAACAUUUCAAGAAACAUGGAAGGUCAAAGCAGAUAACUUGAAACUAAAUCAUCUCCGGGACUCAUACAAGCACACAAAGAUUUGACUUUUACGAUUAUUUAUUCAAAAACAACACCUGGAAAUGAAAAUUGAAAUCAAUCCAGAGAAGAGUAAAGGUUGAAGAUUUGAACAAACCUCUCAAAAGACUCCGGUGGUAAGAACUGAAACAUGAAAGAUCCGCAGAAGGAGCAGCAGAUCUGGUGGAGUCCUCGCCGCCUUCUUUGGAGAUGGUGUGAUCUCUGGAAAGGACGAAGGAGGUCGCGGUGGAAGAUCUCUGCUGAAGAGACAAAAGCCUCCUCCCUGCAACUCGCAGCAUCUUCUCUGAGUUCUCUCAAUGGGUAAGGUGAGGUUAGGACUGGUCUCGAUGCCCAAAUAAAAAAAAAAGAUGACACCUUUAUAGAGAAAAUGUCAAAUCACUUUUGGUUUUGUAGCAUCGUGGCACCUUAAUGUACUUAUGUUUGUUAUUAUUCCUCGUGACUCAUUAUGUUACCAAACUAAUGUAAACAAAGGACAAAAUAAUCUGAUUGGUUCAUAAUCUCCAAAGGCUUUAUUUUGAAGCAAACAACAAUUUGUAAAAAUGCAAUAACAAACUUCCAAAAGUGUUUUAUAUGUUUGUUUGUUUGUUUCCCAAGAGGAGGAGGGUGAUAAUUUAUUUGUCAACAGGUUUGCAAAAAAACAUGUUUCUUUAGGGGGAAAUUUAUCAGAGGUUGGUGAAGUCAACAGGUUCACGGAGGAGCCUCUCCAUCUGCUGUGCCCUUGUCCUGAUAGACAUGUCCAGCACCUUUUGUUGAAACUCUACUAUUAACCCUCCAUAGAUACUCGGAUCAAUCUGCCAUAACAAAACAAACAUGUAUUAGAUUCCAGCUUCACAAUCACAAGCCAAUAAUCACCAUUACAUACCUUUUGUUCCACAGUUACUUUCUUCCCUUCUCCGAUUAUCUCCUGAAGUGUCUCCUUAAGCUCCUUCUCCUCAGCAGGAGGCAGCGGCUGUUUGUCAACAAAAAAAUAAAAAACAUUUUGCUGUUUAAAUCCUGAUGAUGGUUACGGUUUCUUUAAGUAGUCAAACUAUAUCUUACCAUGACUGUGGUAACCAAAACCUUGACGUCUCCUCUAUGUGCUGUCGUCAGCUGCAUGAAUUUCUUCACAAUCACGUCUAGGUUCUUCAGCUUCCCAUUCUCAGCUAACAAAGCUGUUUAACAAUAAAAAGUAUAUCAAAAUCACAACAAACAUGCUCAGUCAAAAUCAUAAACAAGCAAUCAGUUGUGACAUACAGAGGAAGUUCUUGGUGGGUUCUGCAAACUUUGCUUUGUCACAAACAUCGACAAUAGCAGCGAGUCUUGUCUCUCUAGGAACAGAGGGAUCCUUAGUAAACUGCGCAAAAAUAGGACUAGUCUUCAUAGCCUCAACCAGCUCAGAGAGAUCAGUCUCAAUCUUCUCCAAGGAGUUCAUUUUCACAGCUGCGAUGUACAGCCACGAAGCAAAGUUGCCAGAUUCACCAACUAAUGCCACAGGCACCUGAAUAGCAAACAUUACACAAAACACAAUUGUAUUAAAACAACAACAAAGUAUAAAUCCACCAGAUACACUUCCAGUGAUAUAUCAAUGCAUAAUACAUUAUACAUCGAUUCAUUUCAUGCCUAUGCAAUAAUCCAAAGCCAUUUGAAGAGACUAUCACAUGUAAGAAGUACAUGGAUGCAUAUAGUAAGUGCGUGUACCUUAACAUUGACGGUGUUCUGAGCAGAAGCAGUUGCAUAAUCUCUCAACUGCGAUUAAAAAGUAAAGAUUUUUAUUAAAUUGAUUACAUCUCUCCGGAAAACCUCAGGACUACCAAUUAGGAAUCUUCUAAAACAUAGAACAAUGUAAACUCGUCAACACAUUCCAUCCUCUCGUGUAAUCAGGCCAAUCAGAUUCUUGUAAAGAUUGAUGCAUUAUUACAAGAACAAGAACAACAAAAAGUGGUAUUGAGAUUCGAUUUGUUUUUUUUUUUUUUUAAAUGAUUACCGAAGGGAUAAGCGAGCCUCCACGGGGGUAAGAUCUAGCAUCAGAGACGGAGAUGUUCUUGAAGAAGGAGAUUCCGGAUCUGAUACGACCAGCCAACGCCAUUUUUUUUGUUGUUGCAGAUUAAUCUGAUUGGAACCCUAGAGACAAUCAAUCAGCUGUUCUGUCGGAGAGAGUAUAGAGAAGGAGACUGGUCAGCGGAGUGAUUUGGGCUUCACUGGGCUUUCCUACGUUUGGUUUUAGUUAUUGGACUUUUUCACGUUUAUUUUAUUGGGCUUACUGCAGCCAUAAAAAGAUAGAGAUAUUAAUUUGUAGAAAGAUGAAAUUGGAUAGGCUGUAACAGUUGGGAUAAUUUUGUUUGUUUGCCAUCUGAACAAAUAUGCAGUGCGUUGUCACUGACAUUUUUGGUUACCAAUUUUACAAAUAUGAAGUGCAUUGUAAAUUUUCGCAACGAAGCUCUAACGUUAAAAGUUAACACGGUUAAUAUCGUUUAUAUCCUUAAUGAAUAAAUUAGAUAAAAUAAAAAAACGAAUUUAGUGUUUAUUUGAUUAGAUAUGUGCUUACAAUUAAUAAAAAUAAAGAUUAUCCAUAAUUUAAAAAUAUAUUUAAAAUAAAAAAAUAAUUCUUAUAUAUAUUAUAUUGUUAUCUUAAAAAAAACAGAAAAUACAUAAUUAAAUAUUAAAUAAAAUUAUUGAUUCUAUAUAAUUGAAAGAGAAUAUCAAGUGAUCUCUAAGAUUUAUAUAUUAUUUAUUAAUAAUGAGUAUAGUGUACAAACGAAUUUUAAAAAUUUGCAAUACAUAAGAAUUUUCAAUGAAAACAUAAAUAAUAAUUUAAAACUAUUAUUUGCGAAGUAAUUUUCGCAACGAAACUCUCACAUUAAAAGUUAGCACGGUUAAUAUCGUUUAUACCCUUAAUGAAAAAUUAAAUAAACUAGAUAAAAUAAAAUAAGGAAUUUAGUGUUUAUUUGAUUAGAUAAGUGCUUACAACUAAUAAAAAUAAAAAAAUUCCAUAAUUUAAAAAUAUAUUUAAGAGAAAAGAUAAUUCCUAUAUAUAUUGUGUUGUUAUCCUUUUUAAAAAACAGAAAAUGCAUAAUUAAAUAUUAAGUAAAAUUAUUAAUUCUAUAUAAUUGAAAGAGAAUAUUAAGUAACCUCUAAGAUUUUUAUAUUAUUUAUUAAUAAAGAAUAUAAUGUACAAAUGAAUUUUAAAAAUUUGUAAUACAUAAGAUUUUCAAUGAAAACAUAAAUAAUAAUUUAAAAUUAUAAUUCUUUAAUUAAUAAUACAUGUAUUAAUAAGUAGUUAUAAAAUUUAUAUGCCCGCAUGUGCGGGUGAAACACCUAGUAAGUCUUAGAAGUUGACUUAUAUGGCAGUGUCUUAAAAACCACACGAUUUGUUGUUAAGAUAAACAUUAGGAUGGUCUUGAUUUUGAUAUAACUACGUUAAUUUCACAUUUUUCUAGCAAAAAGUUAGUUAAAUCUGUUAAAGUGGUUAAUAAACUGAUCUAGUAGCUAUUCUUGGAUGUUUCAUCUUUGACAUGUAUAAGAAGAGUGACAUGUUAAAGACAAAUCUAUGGCGAUGCAGAUCUUUUAACACAUAGACAAAGAUUAGAGGAGAAUUUUACCAAAAAAAAAAAAGAUUAGAGGAGAAGUGGGAGGGGUAGAACAAUAAUUUCUCGGGGGUGCAACAUGAAGUGUCUCUGGAAGUGUCACGUUAACUUGUCGGCACUGUGGAGAAGACAACAACCUUCUCUUUCAAAACCAGCCACCAUAGUCACCAGCAUUAGGCAAAGGGAUGCACCCCAAAUGAGUGCAGACCCCAACCACCACCAACCACUCUGGAUUCUUCACCCUCACCGAGUCCUCUUGCGGGUCUCUCAGAGAUCCAAGAUCCACACUGUUAGCCAGCUUGAUGUCAUCUUCCGUUCUACGUCUAAUAAAGACAGGCUUUCCACGCCACUUCACUGUCACAGUUGUUCCCGGUUCGAUGCUACCGAGGUCUACCUCGAGGGAAGCAAGGGCAAGGACAUCUUUACUCGCGGACAUGCUGACAAUGAGCUUCAGGACAAGAAGGCGGAGAACAGAGGCGUAGACAAACCUCCCACCGGACAAGACGAAAUAGGCGAAGGCACGCUUGCUAGGGUCACCAGGUGGGUAACGCUCAUGGUUGUGGUCAUCGUACACAAUCUUCGAGUUAGGUGUCUUGACAGCCUCAACGGUGGCUGGGACUUCAGAAGCAAAACCUAUCUCGUUUCCUUGAGUAAUGACUUGAGAAGAGAAACCUGAUAAUAGCAUGAACAACAUUAAUAUAUUAUUUCACAUAAAGGCAAAAACUUUACUUACCGGUCAAGUGUUCUACAACAAUAGUAUUAAGUAACAAACGGGUCAGCAAAUAACACUGAAGAAAGAACUACCGCUACAACAUUAAUAUAUAUAACCUUCUAAGGAGAAGCACAAGUACAUAAACUUUUAAAUCAUUAAAGUAAAAUACAUCCCAGCAAUUCUACUCUAAUAAGCUAAUCAACACAAAAAUCAAGAAACAAAUUCAAUGAUCAAAUGACUGAAAUACUCACAAGAAAAGUUCUCAAAGCUAAGACUACAAGCACAGAACAAAGAUACUAAUUCAAGAUUCCUAUACUGAUAUAGUUAACAUGAUGUGCAUAAACCAUCAUCCAUCUCCCAAACAAUGAACACACACACAAGUUACAAGUUUUAUAAAAUUCAAGAAGCCAAUGUGAAUCUCACUUAUGGAUAUUGGACAACGCACCACAAGGUUAUUACAAAACAGGAAAAGCUUUUGUCAUCAAACAGAAAUGGUCAAAUCAUAUUAAUCCGAUCAAACAAAAGGAAACAAAACAUUUCAAGAAACAUGGAAGGUCAAAGCAGAUAACUUGAAACUAAAUCAUCUCCGGGACUCAUACAAGCACACAAAGAUUUGACUUUUACGAUUAUUUAUUCAAAAACAACACCUGGAAAUGAAAAUUGAAAUCAAUCCAGAGAAGAGUAAAGGUUGAAGAUUUGAACAAACCUCUCAAAAGACUCCGGUGGUAAGAACUGAAACAUGAAAGAUCCGCAGAAGGAGCAGCAGAUCUGGUGGAGUCCUCGCCGCCUUCUUUGGAGAUGGUGUGAUCUCUGGAAAGGACGAAGGAGGUCGCGGUGGAAGAUCUCUGCUGAAGAGACAAAAGCCUCCUCCCUGCAACUCGCAGCAUCUUCUCUGAGUUCUCUCAAUGGGUAAGGUGAGGUUAGGACUGGUCUCGAUGCCCAAAUAAAAAAAAAAGAUGACACCUUUAUAG
This 5427-nucleotide long non-coding RNA is filed under the name Brassica napus (rape). RNAcentral describes it as "long non-coding RNA (BNAP_LNC001075)". The record is from RNAcentral. Lineage: Eukaryota; Viridiplantae; Streptophyta; Magnoliopsida; Brassicales; Brassicaceae.